AUGACAAAUUUGCGAAUAGGUGAUUUAACGGGAGAGGUGUCUUCAUUGGCUUUUGUGGCUAACAUGACAUUGUUGAAAACUCUAGUUCUGAGAAACUCCAGGAUAUCUGACAACCUUGCUUCAGCGGACUUCUCAAAAUUUGUUAACCUCAAUUAUCUGGACUUGAGUUUUAACAGCAUAACUGGCAAAGUUUCUCCAACCCUUCUGAACCUGAAUACCCUGAAUUUCCUAUUUCUUGGGAGCAAUAACCUCUCUGGGAGCUUACCAGACAUGAUUAGCCCUUCACUUACUACUAUUGACUUGUCAUACAAUAUGCUCUCAGGAAGAUACCCUUCUUGGGUUAACAUGAAUAAUUUACAUGUGAAUUUGGUGUGGAACAACUUUGUGAUAGAUAACUCAAACAACAGUACUUUGCCUUCAGGACUAAAUUGUCUUCAGCGAGAUACUCCAUGUUUUAUUGGUUCUCCAUCUCAUUCUUCCUUUGCGGUAGACUCUGGUGGUAAAAGACCCAUCAGAGGCUCAGGCAACACCAUUUACGAACCUGAUGAUGCCAGUCUUCAAGGUGCAUCAUACUACGUUACAAACUCAACGAGAUGGGGUGUUAGCAACAUCGGGAAAUUCGUGGAUUCCCCCAAUGGGAGUUACAUAAUAGACACUUCUCGCCUGUUUACCGACGCACUUGAUUCUGAACUAUUUGAGACAGCCAGAAUGGCACCCUCUUCAUUGAGAUACUACGGCAUCGGGCUAAAGAAUGGCUUGUACCACGUUGUACUUCAAUUUGCGGAGAUCUUUUUCCCAGAUGACCAGACACACUUACCUGUGGAAUAUCUUUUGCUUGCUUCCCUGGUGCAGGGUGAUCUUAAAGAAACAGACUUCGAUAUAAAGAAACAAACAAAUGGAAAAUCUUACACUGUUAUUCAGAGACAGUAUACUGUUGAAGUAAUGAAUAAUUUCAUUGGUAUCCAUCUCUUUUGGGCUGGAAAGGGCACUUGUUGCAUUCCUGAACCUGGGUUCUACGGGCCAUCAAUCUCAGCAUUAAGCGUAUUUUCUUAUGAUAGCAACGGUGAAGAGGAUCCUGGUCCACAGAAAAACAGCACUACCAAUAACACAGGUUUGGUUGUUGGAGUUGUAGUCUGUGUUGCAGUUUUAGGAUUUCUAGCACUCGCUGGGGCCUUUAUUUGGAGACAGAAAAGAAGGAAGUUAGAGGUGGAAAUGGAAGAGCUGUUUGGUAUAGUUGGAAGGCCUAACGUCUUCAGUUACGGUGAAAUAAAAUCUGCUACGGGCAGUUUUAGUCCUAGUAACAUUCUCGGAAGAGGGGGAUAUGGACUUGUUUACAAGGGUAAGCUACUUGAUGGGAGAAUGGUAGCUGAAAGCAGCUGUCUUCUACAUCUAAUCAAGGGAAAAAGGAGUUCAUGA
Molecule: ribosomal RNA, 1416 nt
Filed under: Triticum aestivum (bread wheat)
Lineage: Eukaryota; Viridiplantae; Streptophyta; Magnoliopsida; Poales; Poaceae
Description: partial small subunit ribosomal RNA
Source: RNAcentral